Molecule: long non-coding RNA, 473 nt
Organism: Ficedula albicollis (Collared flycatcher)
Lineage: Eukaryota; Metazoa; Chordata; Aves; Passeriformes; Muscicapidae
Exons: 3
Source: RefSeq, a predicted model, not a curated record
GCGGCCGGGCGCCGCUGCAGCGAGCAGGAGCCGUGCCAUGGCCGCGGCCGGCCGGGCCGCCCAGCGCGCCUUCUCCGCCGCGCGGCUCUUCCUGAUUAUCUCCGUGUUUGCUCAGUCGGGGCUCGUCCCAGGCGCUGCUCAGCCAUCCUCCCCUCUGCUCCGCAUUCCUGAUCGUGUUUCUGAGUAUUUGCUGAAGUGUUUCACGCAGUACCGCAAACACAUCUGAACAGGCUCGAGCUCCGGCCUCGCAAGCUCUUGUUGUUCUGAGGACAGUCGCUGCUUCUUCUUACUUGUUCCUUGAGUUCCAGGCUGUUGUUCGAGUGGGGCUGGUUUGCUGACUGAAGAAUAAUGCCGGUGGCUCUUCCGCCUCUUCUGCGUUUUGCUUGUCUUUUUUAUUCAAAUUUGCUUGCCACAUUCUAUGGCCUGUAUCAUCAGAAAAAUGUAACACGCUAUUGGAUUCUCAUCCUUCUCGA